Molecule: ribosomal RNA, 419 nt
Filed under: uncultured bacterium
Lineage: Bacteria
Description: partial 16S ribosomal RNA
Rfam family: Bacterial small subunit ribosomal RNA
Source: RNAcentral
AAUAUUGGUCAAUGGAGGCAACUCUGAACCAGCCAAGUCGCGUGAAGGAUGAAGGUCUNAUGGAUNGNAAACUUCUUUUGCAGGGNCAUAAAUAGCGGUACGUGUACCGUUUUGCAUGUACCCUGCGAAUAAGGAUCUGCUAACUCCGUGCCAGCCGCCGCGGUAAUACGGAGGAUCCGAGCGUUAUCCGGAUUUAUUGGGUUUAAAGGGUUCGCAGGCGGGAGAUUAAGUCGGGGGUGGAAUUUUGAAGCUCAACUGUAAAAGUGGCUUCGAUACUGGUUUCCCUGAGUGUGGAUGAAGUAGGCGGAAUUUGUGGUGUAGCGGUGAAAUGCUUAGAUAUCACGAGGAACUCCGCUUGCGCAAGCAGCUUACUAAACCACUACUGACGCUCAGGCACGAAGGCGUGGGGAUCAAACAGG